Molecule: non-coding RNA, 805 nt
Filed under: Deroploa parva
Lineage: Eukaryota; Metazoa; Arthropoda; Insecta; Hemiptera; Pentatomidae
Source: RNAcentral
AUUUAAAUUUAAUUCUAGUUUAUUUUAAAUAUCUAUAUAAUGAUUUAAAUAUGUAAAUUUUUGUGCGAUAAAGUAAUGUAUUUAAAUAGUUCAUUAUAUUUUUAUAAUUCGCAGUUUAUUUUUUUAUUUAUUUAGUAAUUUAAGAUAUAGUUAAUUAUAUUUUUGACUAGCUAAAAUUGUGCCAGCAGCUGCGGUUAUACAAUUAGUUAAAGUUAUUUAUAUUGGUAUUUUAUUAAUUUUAUUUUAUGACAUUAUAUAUUCAUAUGAAUUUUUAAGUGAAAUUUAAAUUUUGAUUUUAAUGUUUGGUUAAUGUUUAUUAAUUAUAAGAAAUUCUUAAUUUAAACUAGGAUUAGAUACCCUAUUAUUUUGAAUGUAAAUUUUAAUUCCUAGUACUGUUAGUUAAGAUCUUUAAAUUGAAAGAAUUUGACGGUAAUUUUAAUCAUUUUAGAGGAACCUGUUCUGUAAUUGAUAAUCCACGAUAAAUUUUACCUUAAUUAUUGGUUUGUAUAUCUCUGUCUGUAGAAUGUUUUAUUAGAAAUAAUUUUCUUUAUAUUUUAAUAUUUUGAAUUAUAUGUCAGGUCAAGGUGCAGCUAUAUUAAGGAUUGAAAUGGGUUACAUUUAAUAUUUUUAUUAUUGGAUUAAUUAUUUAAUUUAUAUUUAUUAAAUUGGAUUUAAUUGUAAUGAGUAAUAUAUAUUAUUCAUGAUAAAUGUUCUUGAUUAAGUACAUAUCGCCCGUCGCUCUCAUUAAUAAGAUGAGAUAAGUCGUAACAAAGUAAUCCUAUCGGAAGUUGGGGUUAGAAUUAUA